Long non-coding RNA from Macrobrachium nipponense, 638 nucleotides. RefSeq lists it as uncharacterized. The transcript has 4 exons. NCBI's taxonomy places the organism in Eukaryota, Metazoa, Arthropoda, Malacostraca, Decapoda, Palaemonidae. The record is from RefSeq and is a predicted model, not a curated record.
AUUGGGAACCCAUGAAUCUACAAACAAAAUACAUUCGUAAGUGCUCAUUUUUGUAUAUGUUGACCAGACCAUUAUGUUACAUGCAACAUCAUCCCUAAGUUUCAGCCUUCAUUCACGAUUUUUCAGCAAAUGGACAACUAGGCCAAUUAUCCCUCCCCCCAAACCUGCCAUUUUUCUUUCUUUCUUUCUUUUUCCAGUAACUUUGACGUCAGUGCUUCAAGGAAAACAUGGUUGAUCAAGCAAUUUUUGGUUGCUAGUAGCUGUAAACAGCAAUUAAAGAUGGCCAUUGGUCAACAAGAUAAAUUAAAUACAAUACCAUUUUUCAACCAGCAGUCCUAUAAACGUAGGCGCCAUAGGUCGUGAUGUCUCGGCUAGAAUCUAGCAAAGGGGAUGAAUGUAUCUUCACGGGGCGCGAAUGGCUCCGGAAGGCCUCUGAUUCCGAGAAGAUGAUGGAAUCAUACCAUCAGGACGGCUGUGUCUUGAUCUGGUACCAGCUGGAUCUGAGCAGCGCCGAGCCAUUGCAAGAAGAGCACGUCAGGAGAGCUGUUGCUCACCUGUACAGGAAGGUUCCAAGUCUGAACGUAUGGUUAUGGUACCUUUGAGGACGAGAUAUGGUUCAGAAGGGCUACAACCAGAGA